Molecule: ribosomal RNA, 253 nt
Filed under: uncultured bacterium
Lineage: Bacteria
Description: partial 16S ribosomal RNA
Rfam family: Bacterial small subunit ribosomal RNA
Source: RNAcentral
UACGUAGGUGGCAAGCGUUGUCCGGAAUUAUUGGGCGUAAAGAGUGCGUAGGCGGUCUAAUAAGUCUCAUUUGAAAGCCCAUGGCUUAACCAUGGAGGGUGAUGGGAAACUGUAAGACUUGAGUACAGGAGAGGAAGGUGGAAUUCCACGUGUAGCGGUGAAAUGCGUAGAUAUGUGGAGGAACACCGGUGGCGAAGGCGGCCUUCUGGCCUGUGUCUGACGCUGAGGCACGAAAGCGUGGGUAGCAAACAGG